UUUCCGUAGGUGAACCUGCGGAAGGAUCAUCCAUAAUAAAGUGUUUUAUGGCACUUUUUAAAAAUCCAUAUCCACCUUGUGUGCAAUGUUAGAUCUCGUCAAUCUUGGCGAGAUUUUUAUACAUCAACUCAUCCUUUAACUAAUUUGUCUGAAAAAUAUUAUGAAUACUUAAUUCAAAAUACAACUUUCAACAACGGAUCUCUUGGCUCUC
RNAcentral lists this unclassified non-coding RNA (211 nucleotides) under plant metagenome. RNAcentral's name for it is "partial contains small subunit ribosomal RNA, internal transcribed spacer 1, and 5.8S ribosomal RNA". The record is from RNAcentral.